UACGUAGGUGGCAAGCGUUGUCCGGAUUUACUGGGCGUAAAGCGUAUGCAGGCGGAUUGUUAAGUAGGAAGUGAAAGGUUGGAGCUCAACUCUAACACUGCUCCCUAUACUGGCAGUCUUGAGUGGCGGAGAGGAAGACGGAACGACACGUGUAGCGGUGAAAUGCGUUGAUAUGUGUCGGAACACCAAUGGCGAAAGCAGUCUUCUGGACGCAAACUGACGCUGAGAUACGAAAGCCAAGGUAG
Molecule: ribosomal RNA, 245 nt
Filed under: uncultured Clostridium sp.
Lineage: Bacteria; Bacillati; Bacillota; Clostridia; Eubacteriales; Clostridiaceae
Description: partial 16S ribosomal RNA
Rfam family: Bacterial small subunit ribosomal RNA
Source: RNAcentral